UACGGAGGGUGCAAGCGUUAUCCGGAUUCACUGGGUUUAAAGGGUGUGUAGGCGGAUUUUUAAGUCAGUGGUGAAAUCUCCGGGCUCAACCCGGAAACUGCCAUUGAUACUAUUAGUCUUGAAUUCUGUUGAGGUGGGCGGAAUACAUUAUGUAGCGGUGAAAUGCUUAGAUAUGAUGUAGAACACCGAUUGCGAAGGCAGCUCACUAAGCAGACAUUGACGCUGAGGCACGAAAGCGUGGGGAUCAAACAGG
Molecule: ribosomal RNA, 253 nt
Filed under: uncultured bacterium
Lineage: Bacteria
Description: partial 16S ribosomal RNA
Rfam family: Bacterial small subunit ribosomal RNA
Source: RNAcentral